Long non-coding RNA from Prosopis cineraria, 2218 nucleotides. RefSeq lists it as uncharacterized. The transcript has 3 exons. The record is from RefSeq and is a predicted model, not a curated record. Lineage: Eukaryota; Viridiplantae; Streptophyta; Magnoliopsida; Fabales; Fabaceae.
UCCCUUUGGCUUGCCCGAGCAAAGGAAGCAGAGAAGACUUUCGGCCACACAUGGUAAAGAGGAGGAAAAACGCAGAGAAAGGUAGAACAAAAAGCUUUACUCUAUAGAAACGCCAGUCACGCACACAAGAGAAGAGGAGCAAAGCAUUUUUCUUCCUGAUUCUCCAUAAUCGCAAUCAAAAGGAAGAGUCCGGCAUGCAACUGCCUGCCGCCUCACACGCAAGUUUCAGAUUUCUUGUGUCUGCUUUCAAGAUUAAAGGAGAAAAACUUUUCAAAAAGAGAGGAGUAGCAGAGGUUUGCAGUGGCUUUGGCAGAUGAAAGACUACGUCGUGUGCUAAAGGAGAAGGCUAAAUCUAGUAAGAUUUCAUCAAUUUAUGGUCAUCUUCAUCUACAAAAGGACUAAAUCGAGAGAGAGCUGGAAGGGGAAUUUUCUAGAGACUUUCUUUAAAAGAGAGAUAGAGGAGGGUGAGCGAUUUUUUCUGGAGAGGACCGAGAGAACUAGAGGGAGAUUGAGGGAGAUUUCUAGAAGGAUAUGGUUUUUAGAGAAAAUGGUAAAGGUAGAAUCAAAGAGAGGAAACCGAGAGUGAUCCAGGCAGAAGCAGAGAAGCAGAUUUGGGAUAUCAAGAGGAGGAAGAGGCAUUGCACAGGGAGAUAACCUAGUGGAAAAUCUAUUGGAUUUUGAGUGUGAACUGAAAAGGCCAUACUUAUUAUUUAGGAACGCUGAAAAAGAAGUUAAUGGUAUACGGUUUUACAAUUCAGAUGAAAGUGAAGAAGCAGCAAAUCUCUUUAAUAGUAUACUCAAUGGCUUAUACAAUUGUUUAACUCUAGCAAUAUACUUGAUGCAUACUCGAAGGCAGCCACGAAGACAAAAUUGCCUUGUAGCAAAAGGGAAGGAUUUUUGAAAGGUUUAUGGUAUCUUAAAUCUCUACUACUAUAAAAGAGAGAUUCAAAUAUAUGCAGGAGAAUGGGAAAUUAUUUAGCCUCCUAUUCAAAUACAUGCUGUAGUGAAUUUAAGGAACUUGAACCAGCAGCUAUUGUAACAGAAAAGCGUCUAAAGUCAUCUUCAGCCACCCCUUCCGCAAUUGGUUCACUUGAAGAUCCUGCCUUUGUAGACUGCCUCAAUGCAUGCAAUCUAGUUGCACAUACAGCACGCCAAUUUUCUCUGCCUUUGGGUGAAUUCUUCUUCAAUGCUGAUUUUAAGUUUUCUUUUCUUUCAUAAACCUUUUAGACCACCCGGUAUGAUCCAAUUAUAGUAACUUGGAUAUUGCUUUCUCCUUGGUGUACCAAACAAUUGUGUCUAAGAAAGAUUUUCCCUUAUAGCUGAACAACUUUGCCUUCUAUUAAUCCUAAUGGGACUCGGCUUCUCUCAGAUAAGGGCAGCCACUCCUCCGCUAAGGGAGACAUGUAUUUAAAUCAUUCAUAUUAAAUCUAAACUGUCCAAAUGUAAUGUUUUUUAUUUUUUUAUUUUCCAUUUAUUAAACUAAAAAAUUUAAUAAACCUGUUUAUUAAAAUUUGACGAUGCAAUCAAUAGGUGGCGGUCAGUAAUUAAGCCUGGGCACUAGGAUAUAUUUUCUAAUUUUCAUGGUUACAGGGAGUAGAUUGGAUUAAAUGGAAUCUCAGAAAUGAAGGAGGGCAAAGUUUCUCCGGGAAGAUACCAUGGCCUACUCUUUUUGGGUAUGUUGGUUGCGACAUAUGGGUGACCAGAUGUAAUAGAGUCUUUGGAGGAGAGUACGAGGACAGAGCAUCAAAUGCUUAUCAAAGUCUUUUUCCAGCAACUAUGGAUAAGGAUCUGGUAACUAAAUUCUCUGCCUUAAGAAUAACUCUAUCAAUGCGAAAGCUCAAUUCAGUAGAAAAGGGUUCUCCAUCUGUGUAUUAAUGGAUGGCAGCAGCGAGUGUGGGGGAACUAUAAGGGAUGACAAGAAGAAUUGGAUUUGUGGCUUCACUUGUGAGCUGAAUUUUGUCCCUCCUGUGAUAACUGAGAUGAUUGCAAUGAUUAAUGGCUUGAGCCUUUGUUGGGCUUGAAGGUGUACCAAAGUUGAAGUCCACUCUAGUUGUGUUGAAGCUUUUAAUUUGAUUACAAGGGUUGUGAUCCUAAUUUCCCUUCAGUGACUUAGUUGAGGAAGUCAAAAUGUUAUUCUUCAAAGACUAGCAAAUUUAUUUGACUCAUGUAUAGAUGAUAAUAUUUUAGAGACUAAUAGCCUUGCUAGAUUUUUCCAUAA